UAAUUGGCCACGCCCCACGGGGAUGCUGAAAUGGAUUUCCCAAAAAAUGAAGGAAAAUCAUUAGUUCAUCAUAACAUCAACAUGGGCAAGAAUAAGAUCAGAACUUCUUAGGAAUUUUAGAAGCAUCUGAGACAAAGUUGAGACUUCAUAGACACAGUAUUGAAUCUCCAAAGGAAUUGAUUGGAUCAUGAAAAGUAGCCUUUACAGUGGAGUACAGUGGCUGGUGGAGUUUAAGAAGCAUUUGUGACUUCGACAGAGAAGCUCUGGCCCGACCCGUCCUGCUGAAGUCUGAAGGAGGAACAGGAAGAUGCUCCAGACCCCGCUGGCAUUUCUGCCUUUGUUUUCAGCAUCAUGAUCUCACAGUGUUGAGGAAUAUACUGCGUUUAGACCAGACCUCAGCUGACGGAAACCCUUCACCUCUAUGCUAAUCACCCAGAGCUCCUUCAAUACCUCAUCUGCAUUUCAUUCUCUGCUUUUGUCUAGUUCAAGAAGAGACUUGUUUCAUUUAAAAAACCUUCUGAUGGACUCCCGAUAACACUGAACAUUAAAAUCUAUUAAUGGUUGGCUGUAAGUUACCUUAUCAUAUGGUGAAAUAAAUGAUACAAGAGGAUAAUACAU
Cyprinus carpio carpio is the source of this 618-nucleotide long non-coding RNA. NCBI's taxonomy places the organism in Eukaryota, Metazoa, Chordata, Actinopteri, Cypriniformes, Cyprinidae. The record is from Ensembl.